UGGGGAAUAUUGCACAAUGGGCGCAAGCCUGAUGCAGCCAUGCCGCGUGUAUGAAGAAGGCCUUCGGGUUGUAAAGUACUUUCAGCGGGGAGGAAGGCGAUAAGGUUAUUAACCUUGUCGAUUGACGUUACCCGCAGAAGAAGCACCGGCUAACUCCGUGCCAGCAGCCGCGGUAAUACGGAGGGUGCAAGCGUUAAUCGGAAUUACUGGGCGUAAAGCGCACGCAGGCGGUCUGUCAAGUCGGAUGUGAAAUCCCCGGGCUCAACCUGGGAACUGCAUUCGAAACUGGCAGGCUAGAGUCUUGUAGAGGGGGGUAGAAUUCCAGGUGUAGCGGUGAAAUGCGUAGAGAUCUGGAGGAAUACCGGUGGCGAAGGCGGCCCCCUGGACAAAGACUGACGCUCAGGUGCGAAAGCGUGGGGAGCAAACA
This 427-nucleotide ribosomal RNA is filed under the name uncultured bacterium. RNAcentral describes it as "partial 16S ribosomal RNA". It matches the Rfam family "Bacterial small subunit ribosomal RNA", at positions 355 to 774 of the family's 1533-position model. The record is from RNAcentral.